AUUUAAAUAGCUUAAAAUUUUAAAGCAUUAUAUUGAAAAUAUAAAAAUGAUAAUAAUCUUUAAAUA
This 66-nucleotide transfer RNA is filed under the name Acanthormius sp. 3 DLJQ-2021a. RNAcentral's name for it is "Acanthormius sp. QL-2013 tRNA-Phe". Lineage: Eukaryota; Metazoa; Arthropoda; Insecta; Hymenoptera; Braconidae. The record is from RNAcentral.